AAAAAUCUUAGUUAAAUAAUAACAUUAAUUUGUCAAGUUAAAAUUACCUUAAAAGUAGAUUUUUA
Molecule: transfer RNA, 65 nt
Filed under: Cryptocephalus flavolimbatus
Lineage: Eukaryota; Metazoa; Arthropoda; Insecta; Coleoptera; Chrysomelidae
Description: tRNA-Asp
Source: RNAcentral